This is a non-coding RNA of Aneurinibacillus migulanus, 91 nucleotides long. NCBI's taxonomy places the organism in Bacteria, Bacillati, Bacillota, Bacilli, Caryophanales, Paenibacillaceae. The record is from Rfam.
AUGAAGGCAGAGGGAGAGAACGCGCUGGGCGCGUCGCCGAAGGAGCAAGCACACCUUUUAAUCUCUCAGGCAAAAGUACUUCUGCGGGACG